This 66-nucleotide transfer RNA is filed under the name Bactericera cockerelli (potato/tomato psyllid). RNAcentral describes it as "tRNA-Asn". The record is from RNAcentral. Lineage: Eukaryota; Metazoa; Arthropoda; Insecta; Hemiptera; Triozidae.
UGAGUAAAAGUCAAAGAGAGACAAAUUAUUGUUAAUAAUUUAAUUGAAAUUAAAUUUCUUACCCAA